RNAcentral lists this long non-coding RNA (629 nucleotides) under Coccomyxa subellipsoidea. Its description in RNAcentral is "long non-coding RNA (CSUB_LNC000155)". Lineage: Eukaryota; Viridiplantae; Chlorophyta; Trebouxiophyceae; Coccomyxaceae. The record is from RNAcentral.
CCCGCGCUCCCCCAGAUUGAGUUUCGGUGUGUUGAGAAACUUAUCAGCAAGCCGAGUGUGGGUAGCUUUGACUUUAGCACGUUUCCAUCGUGAAGCGAUUGCCCCCAGUUCGCCCAACCGGCAGUCAUCACCUGCUCUUCUCUCUGGUUUCAUAUUCUUGUUCAUAUGUUUUACACUGUUUAUGGUCGGCCUGGCUGCAAAAUUGUGCCGCAGACCUGAGACUUGCCGCUCAUUGGCUCAGGCUCAGCGCACAACCAUAUGUUCAGAUUUUCUUUACUGUCAUUCCAAACAUCUUCUCGACGCUGAUCCUUCGAGAGGAGUUCAGGUAUUGUUCACCACCUCUGAUAUGCAGCAGGAUGCUUUCAUCGUCCUUCUCCCCGGUGAUCUGUGCGGGUGAAGUCUUCUCUCCAUAGUUGUGCGUCAAGGAUGAUCAUACGUUCAGGGAGAAAUAGCAUAGUCAAGCAUUGUUGUAGCAAUGCAAUCAUUGUUUUUGCAGUGGUACAUCAGCUUGUCUUCUCUUGGUUGCUCUCAAGUUGCUACACUGACCUGACUAACCUGCCCAUUUCACAGGCGUUGGAAGAAAGGGUCGCAUGAUUCGUCGAGGAACACCACCCUGCCCAUCCCCGCUC